Non-coding RNA from Xylariomycetidae sp. FL2044, 72 nucleotides. NCBI's taxonomy places the organism in Eukaryota, Fungi, Ascomycota, Sordariomycetes. The record is from the annotation of a GenBank genome assembly.
GGUCGAUUCGUCUAGGGGUUAGGACGUGAGAUUCUGAUUCUCAAGGCCUGGGUUCGAUUCCCAGAUUGACCU